UACGUAGGGGGCAAGCGUUGUCCGGAAUUAUUGGGCGUAAAGGGCGCGUAGGCGGCCUUCUAAGUCAGACGUGAAAUCCCCCGGCUUAACCUGGGAACUGCGUCUGAUACUGGGAGGCUUGAGUAUGGGAGAGGGAUGUAGAAUUCCAGGUGUAGCGGUGAAAUGCGUAGAUAUCUGGAGGAAUACCGGUGGCGAAGGCGGCAUCCUGGACCAUAACUGACGCUGAGGCGCGAAAGCUAGGGGAGCAAACGGG
Molecule: ribosomal RNA, 253 nt
Filed under: uncultured bacterium
Lineage: Bacteria
Description: partial 16S ribosomal RNA
Rfam family: Bacterial small subunit ribosomal RNA
Source: RNAcentral